AGACAGGUGUAAGAGAACCCCUUUAACUCAUACCUCAGAGAAAUAGAGUAAUUAGUGUCUUAU
This 63-nucleotide transfer RNA is filed under the name Brachionus calyciflorus. RNAcentral describes it as "tRNA-Met". The record is from RNAcentral. Lineage: Eukaryota; Metazoa; Rotifera; Eurotatoria; Ploima; Brachionidae.